CGAACGCUGGCGGCAGGCCUAACACAUGCAAGUCGAGCGCACCUUCGGGUGAGCGGCGGACGGGUGAGUAACGCGUGGGAAUAUGCCCUUCACUACGGAAUAGCCUCGGGAAACUGAGAGUAAUACCGUAUACGCCCUUCGGGGGAAAGAUUUAUCGGUGAAGGAUUAGCCCGCGUUGGAUUAGGUAGUUGGUGGGGUAAUGGCCUACCAAGCCGACGAUCCAUAGCUGGUUUGAGAGGAUGAUCAGCCACACUGGGACUGAGACACGGCCCAGACUCCUACGGGAGGCAGCAGUGGGGAAUCUUAGACAAUGGGGGAAACCCUGAUCUAGCCAUGCCGCGUGAGUGACGAAGGCCCUAGGGUCGUAAAGCUCUUUCGCCAGGGAAGAUAAUGACGGUACCUGGUAAAGAAGUCCCGGCUAACUCC
RNAcentral lists this ribosomal RNA (426 nucleotides) under uncultured bacterium. Its description in RNAcentral is "bacterial SSU rRNA". It matches the Rfam family "Bacterial small subunit ribosomal RNA", at positions 30 to 504 of the family's 1533-position model. The record is from RNAcentral.